Molecule: non-coding RNA, 790 nt
Filed under: Alloeorhynchus bakeri
Lineage: Eukaryota; Metazoa; Arthropoda; Insecta; Hemiptera; Nabidae
Source: RNAcentral
AUCCAUGUUUUUCAUGUUAAAGUUAAAAGUUUGAUUAAUGCUUAAUUAUUCAUUUUAAGUUAAUGUUAACAUGGAGGAUUUUUCUUGUUUUAUAUACACAGUUAAAUUGUGUAUUACUUUAUAUUCCCAGUUUUUAAUAUUAAUAAAUUAAUUAGGGUUAGAUUUAGUUAAAUUUAUAAUUAUCUAACUAAGUUUGUGCCAGCAGUUGCGGUUAUACAAUAAGGUAUAAUGAAUAUUCUUGGUUAAUAUUAUUUUGUUUUUGUUAAUAUAUAAUAUACACAUUGUUAGGUGAAAUUUUAAUUUAUAAAUUAUAUAUAUGUUAAUUGUAUAUGAAAGCUGAUUUAAAGACUAGGAUUAGAUACCCUAUUAUUUUAGCUGUAAAAUAAUAAUCAUAGUACUAAGAGUUAUGAUCUUGAAAUUAAAAUAAUUUGGCGGUAAUUUAAUCUUUCCAGAGGAACCUGCCCUGUAAUUGAUAAUCCACGUUAGAUUUAACUUUAUUUUGACUUGUAUACCUCUGUCAUUGAAUGUUCUGAUAAGUUAUUUUCUUAUAUUUUGGUAAAAAAAUAUGUCAGGUCAAGGUGCAGUAAUAAUAAAGUAGAGGUGGGUUACUUUUAAAUUAUUAGUGGAUGAAUAUUUGAAAUAAUAGAAUUAAAUAGGAUUUGGUAGUAAGUUUAAUUAAUUAAUAGAACUGAUUAAGGCUCUAAAUUAUGCACAUAUCGCCCGUCGCUUUCAUUAGAGAUGAAAUAAGUCGUAACAAAGUAGAUCUACCGGAAGGUGGAUCUAGGAAGUU